Non-coding RNA from Zootermopsis nevadensis, 442 nucleotides. The record is from RefSeq and is a predicted model, not a curated record. NCBI's taxonomy places the organism in Eukaryota, Metazoa, Arthropoda, Insecta, Blattodea, Termopsidae.
AACAGACAACAAUCACUUAGUAUGCAAAUGGCGAACAUGACAGGCGGUGGUGGAACAUCACCGGAGUAAACGAGAAUGGCAGAAGCAGUUCCAUCUUAAUAGAGUUUUGUGUCUCAAGAAAUUGUUUCUGCUAGAAAUACAUCUGUAACACUAACUACUUAAUACAUUCUAAACGAAAGUUCGGUAAUAUCUGUUCUCUCUGACUUAGUUGUGUUACGAGCUUAGCGUGGCUAAUGGAUAGUUUAUUCAACUGCAAUGACUGUACGAGACUGUCAAAACAAAUUAAUGUAAGAAAUAAAUAUUAUAAUUAAAUAUGAUGUAACAUUUGAUAAUGUUUGUCUUCUGGAACAUUGCACCGUAGAAGGUCCUGGGAGACGCAGGAUUACAGUCUGUUACUCUUCCAGAAACGAUACCCGGAUUUUCCACAUGAGAACGAAAGAAA